Molecule: small nucleolar RNA, 110 nt
Organism: Zingiber officinale
Lineage: Eukaryota; Viridiplantae; Streptophyta; Magnoliopsida; Zingiberales; Zingiberaceae
Source: RefSeq, a predicted model, not a curated record
AAUCCAUGAUGAGGGCACUGUCUUUGUAGACUCUUUAAUCUGUUCCAUGUUUCAAAUAAUGAUUCUUCAUAUACCUGAGCAAAAUGUGUGAUGCAAUUCCAUAUAUAAAU